RNAcentral lists this ribosomal RNA (1340 nucleotides) under uncultured bacterium. Its description in RNAcentral is "16S ribosomal RNA". It matches the Rfam family "Bacterial small subunit ribosomal RNA", at positions 101 to 1451 of the family's 1533-position model. The record is from RNAcentral.
AACGGGUGCGGAACACGUACAGAACCUACCUUGAUCUGGGGCAUAGCCCGGAGAAUCCGGAUUAACUCCCCAUAAUAUAUUUGAGUGGCAUCACUUGGCUAUUAAAAAUUUAUUGGAUCGAGAUGGCUGUGCGUCCCAUUAGCUAAUUGGAACGGUAACAGCCUACCAAGGUGACCAUAGAUAACUGGUGUGAGAGCACGACCAGACACACGGGCCCUGAUCCUCGGGCCCGACUCCUACGGGAAGUUUCCGUGAGGAAUAUUGGUCAGUGGAAGCAAGGCUGAACCAACCAUGCCGCGCGAAGGAUGAAGGCCUUCUGGUGUGUAAACUUCUUUUACCUGGGAAGAAACCGCCUUUUUCUAAGGGUGUUGACGGCCCCAGAGGAAUAAACAACGGCUAACUCCGUGCCAAUCCCCGCGGUAAUACCGAGGGUGCAAGCGUUAUCCGGAUUUACUGGGUUUAAAGGGUGUGUAGGCGGGCUUUUAAGUCAGUGGUGAAAUCUCCGGGCUCAACCUGGAAACUGCCAUUGAUACUAUUAGUCUUGAAUUUUGUUGAGGUAGGCGGAAUAAGUCAUGUAGCGGUGAAAUGCAUAGAUAUGACUUAGAACACCAAUUGCGAAGGCAGCUUGCUAAACAAAUAUUGACGCUGAGGCACGAAAGCGUGGGGAUCAAACAGGAUUAGAUACCCUGGUAGUCCACGCCCUAAACGAUGAUUACUCGACAUACGCGAUACACAGUGUGUGUCUGAGCGAAAGCAUUAAGUAAUCCACCUGGGAAGUACGACCGCAAGGUUGAAACUCAAAGGAAUUGACGGGGGUCCGCACAAGCGGUGGAGCAUGUGGUUUAAUUUGAUGAUACGCGAGGAACCUUACCUGGGGUAGAAUCAUACCUGGCCGAUGGUGAAAGCCAUUUUUAUAGCAAUAUACAUGUAGUAAGGUGGUGCAUGGCCGUUGUCAGCUCGUGCCGUGAGGUGUUGGGUUAAGUUCCGCAACGAGCGCAACCCCUAUCAUCAGUUGCCAACAGGUUAAGCUGGGAAGUCUGAUGAAACUGCCGCGGUAAGGCGUGAGGAAGGAGGGGAUGAUGCCAAGUCAUCAUGGCCUUUAUGCCCAGGGCUACACACGUGCUACAAUGGGAGGUACAAAGGGUUGGUACCCGGUGACAUGAUGCCAAUUUCAAAAAACCUCUGUCAGUUCAGAUUGCAGGGUGCAACUGACGUGCAUGAAGCUGGAAUUGCUAGUUAUCGUAGAUCAGCAAUGAUACGGUGAAUACGUUCCCGGACCUUGUACACACCGCCCGUCAAGCCAGGAAGCCAGGGGGACCUGAAUCCGGUAACCGCAAGGA